CUGCUUUGGCAGCAUAUACACUAAAAUUGGAACGAUACAGAGAAGAUUAGCACGGCCCCUGCACAAGGAUGACAUGCAAAUUUGUGAAACAUUCUAUAUUUAA
Small nuclear RNA from Lagenorhynchus albirostris (white-beaked dolphin), 103 nucleotides. The record is from RefSeq and is a predicted model, not a curated record. NCBI's taxonomy places the organism in Eukaryota, Metazoa, Chordata, Mammalia, Artiodactyla, Delphinidae.